GGGGGUGACUGGCUUCGACUUCGGCACUGCAAGUCAGGGGAAGCGGGUCGGGGACGGCGGACAUCACCCCGUCAACACUGUGUCCGCGAAAAAUAAGUGCCAACAAGAAGCACGCUGAGGUUAGCCAGGCUUCCCUGGCUCUCGCUGCCUGAUCAGCGAGACCUCUGUCAGUCCGGGAGCGCCUCCGGCCCGGUACUGACAUCGGUAGGAGGCUGACCGGCCGGCUCGGUCACGGAGCCGUCCGGGACAUCGCACAGUGACUGGGCCUGUCGGCGACUUGCCUGCGUGAGCGCCGGGGCCGAGUAAAACGCCUAGCAGGCUGCACCCGGAGAAGCCCUGGCUUGGUGUUGAAGGACGCGGGUUCGAUUCCCGCCACCUCCACGA
Molecule: non-coding RNA, 384 nt
Organism: Thermobispora bispora DSM 43833
Lineage: Bacteria; Bacillati; Actinomycetota; Actinomycetes; Streptosporangiales; Streptosporangiaceae
Rfam family: transfer-messenger RNA
About the family: Bacterial tmRNA, also known as 10Sa RNA or SsrA, is named for its dual tRNA and mRNA-like properties. Its role is to liberate the mRNA from a stalled ribosome.
Source: Rfam